GGUCUACUGGCGCAAUGGUAGCGUAUCAGCCUUCUACUUCUAUUGGAGCAGAGGCUAGCUGAGGGUUGCGGGUUCGAGCCCCGCGUGGACCU
RNAcentral lists this transfer RNA (92 nucleotides) under Malassezia yamatoensis. RNAcentral's name for it is "tRNA-Arg". It matches the Rfam family "tRNA". Rfam says of the family: Transfer RNA (tRNA) molecules are approximately 80 nucleotides in length. Their secondary structure includes four short double-helical elements and three loops (D, anti-codon, and T loops). The record is from RNAcentral. Lineage: Eukaryota; Fungi; Basidiomycota; Malasseziomycetes; Malasseziales; Malasseziaceae.